RNAcentral lists this ribosomal RNA (118 nucleotides) under Lepisosteus oculatus (spotted gar). Lineage: Eukaryota; Metazoa; Chordata; Actinopteri; Semionotiformes; Lepisosteidae. The record is from RNAcentral.
AGCAGCAGCCAUAUCACCCUGUAGCUCACCGCGGGCAACACCCUGAAGCUCAGCAGGUGUGAGCCUGGCCAGUCCCUGGAUGGGAGACCUCCUGGGAAAUCUAAGGUAGCUACUGGAA